UGUCUCUACUAUAAUAUUUGAAUUUAACUUUUAAGUGAAAAGGCUUAAAUAAUCUAAGGGGACGAUAAGACCCUAUAAAGCUUUACAUUAAAAUAAAAUAUAUUGUCACGUGUUUGUUUAACUUAAUUUAUUUUAAAAUUGUUUCGUUGGGGCGACGAGAAUAUAAAUGAUUAACUGUUCUUAAAUAAAAAUUACAAUAUUAAUUGUGUAAAAAUUGAUCCUUUAUUAAAGAUUAAAAGAUUGAGCUACUUUAGGGAUAACAGCGUAAUCUUCUUUGAGAGUCCAGAUCGACAAGAAGGGUU
Molecule: ribosomal RNA, 302 nt
Filed under: Gennadas elegans
Lineage: Eukaryota; Metazoa; Arthropoda; Malacostraca; Decapoda; Benthesicymidae
Description: partial 16S ribosomal RNA
Source: RNAcentral